GAGGCGGUAGUUCAGACUGGGAGAACACACGAUUGAAGACCGUGAUGUCGAGGGUUCAAAUCCCUCUCGCCUCA
This 74-nucleotide transfer RNA is filed under the name Candidatus Woesearchaeota archaeon. RNAcentral describes it as "tRNA-Phe". It matches the Rfam family "tRNA". From Rfam's summary of the family: Transfer RNA (tRNA) molecules are approximately 80 nucleotides in length. Their secondary structure includes four short double-helical elements and three loops (D, anti-codon, and T loops). Lineage: Archaea; Nanobdellati; Candidatus Woesearchaeota. The record is from RNAcentral.